AACGAACGCUGGCGGCAUGCCUAACACAUGCAAGUCGAACGAAGGCUUCGGCCUUAGUGGCGCACGGGUGCGUAACGCGUGGGAAUCUGCCCUUAGGUUCGGAAUAACAGUUAGAAAUGACUGCUAAUACCGGAUGAUGACGUAAGUCCAAAGAUUUAUCGCCUGAGGAUGAGCCCGCGUAGGAUUAGCUAGUUGGUGUGGUAAAGGCGCACCAAGGCGACGAUCCUUAGCUGGUCUGAGAGGAUGAUCAGCCACACUGGGACUGAGACACGGCCCAGACUCCUCCGGGAGGCAGCAGUGGGGAAUAUUGGACAAUGGGCGCAAGCCUGAUCCAGCAAUGCCGCGUGAGUGAUGAAGGCCUUAGGGUUGUAAAGCUCUUUUACCCGUGAUGAUAAUGACAGUAGCGGGAGAAUAAGCCCCGGCUAACUCCGU
This 432-nucleotide ribosomal RNA is filed under the name uncultured bacterium. Its description in RNAcentral is "partial 16S ribosomal RNA". It matches the Rfam family "Bacterial small subunit ribosomal RNA", at positions 29 to 506 of the family's 1533-position model. The record is from RNAcentral.